GGAGUUGGCCAGACAAUCGCUGCCUUAUACUUGUUAUAAGGGGGAGGAAAGUCCGGGCUCCAUAGGGUAGGGUGCCAGGUAACGCCUGGGCGGGUUAAACCGACGACAAGUGCAGCAGAGAGAAGACCGCCAACCGUUGUUUCGACAGCAGUUGGUAAGGGUGAAAGGGUGCGGUAAGAGCGCACCGGACCCCUGGUAACAGUGGGUUGCAAGGUAAACUCCACCCGGAGCAAGACCAAAUAGGGUUUC
Molecule: RNase P RNA, 249 nt
Filed under: Glaciecola sp.
Lineage: Bacteria; Pseudomonadati; Pseudomonadota; Gammaproteobacteria; Alteromonadales; Alteromonadaceae
Description: partial RNase P RNA component class A
Rfam family: Bacterial RNase P class A
About the family: Ribonuclease P (RNase P) is a ubiquitous endoribonuclease, found in archaea, bacteria and eukarya as well as chloroplasts and mitochondria. Its best characterised activity is the generation of mature 5'-ends of tRNAs by cleaving the 5'-leader elements of precursor-tRNAs.
Source: RNAcentral